AAUCAACGCUGGCGGCGUGCCUCAGACAUGCAAGUCGAACGAGAAAGUUCCCUUCGGGGAGCGAGUAAAGUGGCGCACGGGUGAGUAACACGUAGGUAAUCUACCUUCGGGUGGGGAAUAACCCAGGGAAACUUGGGCUAACACCGCAUAAUGCAGCGGCACCACAUGGUGACAGUUGUUAAAGCGGGGGAUUUUAGGACCUCGCGCCUGAAGAGGAGCCUGCGGCGGAUUAGCUUGUUGGUAAGGUAACGGCUUACCAAGGCGACGAUCUGUAGCCGGCCUGAGAGGGCGGUCGGCCACACUGACACUGACAUACGGGUCAGACUCCUACGGGAGGCAGCAGUCGGGAAUUUUGACAAUGGGCGAAAGCCUGACCCAGCAACGCCGCGUGAAGGAUGAAAUCCCUCGGGAUGUAAACUUCGCAAGAAUGGGAAGAAUUAGUAGGGGUUAAUACCCCCUAUGAUGACGGUACCAUUUGUAAGCUCCGGCUAACUCCGUGCCAGCAGCCGCCGU
Molecule: ribosomal RNA, 513 nt
Filed under: uncultured bacterium
Lineage: Bacteria
Description: bacterial SSU rRNA
Rfam family: Bacterial small subunit ribosomal RNA
Source: RNAcentral